UACGUAGGCAGCAAGCGUUGUUCGGAAUUACUGGGCGUAAAGAGUGUGUAGGUGGUGUCGUAAGUUUGGUGUGAAAUCUCCCGGCUUAACUGGGAGGGUGCGCCGAAGACUGCGAUGCUGGAGUAUGGGAGAGGAAAGCGGAAUUCCUGGUGUAGCGGUGAAAUGCGUAGAUAUCUGGAGGAACACCGGUGGCGAAGGCGGCAUCCUGGACCAACACUGACACUGAGGAGCGAAAGCCAGGGGAGCAAACGGG
Molecule: ribosomal RNA, 253 nt
Filed under: uncultured bacterium
Lineage: Bacteria
Description: partial 16S ribosomal RNA
Rfam family: Bacterial small subunit ribosomal RNA
Source: RNAcentral